RNAcentral lists this ribosomal RNA (443 nucleotides) under uncultured bacterium. RNAcentral describes it as "partial 16S ribosomal RNA". It matches the Rfam family "Bacterial small subunit ribosomal RNA", at positions 338 to 795 of the family's 1533-position model. The record is from RNAcentral.
CCUACGGGUGGCAGCAGUGGGGAAUAUUGGUCAAUGGGCGCAAGCCUGACCCAGCAACGCCGCGUGAAGGAAGAAGGCUUUCGGGUUGUAAACUUCUUUUCUCAGGGACGAAGCAAGUGACCGUACCUGAAGAAUAAGCCACCGCUAACUACGUGCUAGCAGCCGCGGUAAUACGUAGGUGGCAAGCGUUAUCCGGAUUUACUGGUUGUAAGGGUCGUGUGGGCGGGACUGCAAGUAAGAGGUGAAGACCACGGGUUCAACCUGUGCCCUGCAUUUGAAACUGUAGUUCUGGAGUACUGGAGAGGCAGACGGAAUUCCUAGUGUAGCGGUGAAAUGCGUAGAUAUUAGGAGGAACACCAGUGGCGAAGGCGGUCUGCUGGACAGCAACUGACGCUGAGGCGCGAAAGCGUGGGGAGCAAACAGGAUUAGAUACCCGUGUAGUC